This 157-nucleotide ribosomal RNA is filed under the name uncultured bacterium. Its description in RNAcentral is "partial 16S ribosomal RNA". It matches the Rfam family "Bacterial small subunit ribosomal RNA", at positions 355 to 509 of the family's 1533-position model. The record is from RNAcentral.
UGGGGAAUUUUGGACAAUGGGCGCAAGCCUGAUCCAGCCAUGCCGCGUGAGUGAAGAAGGCCUGGUUGUAAGNUCUUCGGCCGGGAAGAAAUCGUGGUCUCUAACAUAGGCCAUGGAUGACGGUACCGGACUAAGAAGCACCGGCUAACUACGUGCC